UGCUAGUUGUACGAGUUUAGACUCGUAGCAGAUAGCUCAGUAACACGUGGCCAAACUACCCUAUGGAUCCGGACAACCUCGGGAAACUGAGGCUAAUCCGGAAUACGACUCUCAGCCUGGAAGUGGCGAGAGUCAGAAACGCCCCGGCGCCAUAGGAUGUGGCUGCGGCCGAUUAGGUAGACGGUGGGGUAACGGCCCACCGUGCCCAUAAUCGGUACGGGUUGUGAGAGCAAGAGCCCGGAGACGGUAUCUGAGACAAGAUACCGGGCCCUACGGGGCGCAGCAGGCGCGAAACCUUUACACUGCACGAAAGUGCGAUAAGGGGACUCCAAGUGCGAGGGCAUAUAGUCCUCGCUUUUCACUACCGUAAGGAGGUAGUAGAAUAAGUGCUGGGCAAGACCGGUGCCAGCCGCCGCGGUAAUACCGGCAGCACGAGUGAUGACCGCUCUUAUUGGGCCUAAAGCGUCCGUAGCUGGCCACGCAAGUCUAUCGGGAAAUCCGCGCGCUCAACGCGCGGGCGUCCGGUGGAAACUGUGUGGCUUGGGACCGGAAGAUCCAGGGGGUACGUCUGGGGUAGGAGUGAAAUCCCGUAAUCCUGGACGGACCACCGGUGGCGAAGGCGCUCUGGAAAGACGGAUCCGACGGUGAGGGACGAAAGCUCGGGUCACGAACCGGAUUAGAUACCCGGGUAGUCCGAGCUGUAAACGAUGUCUGCUAGGUGUGCCACAGGCUACGAGCCUGUGGUGUGCCGUAGGGAAGCCGUGAAGCAGACCGCCUGGGAAGUACGUCCGCAAGGAUGAAACUUAA
Molecule: ribosomal RNA, 807 nt
Filed under: uncultured euryarchaeote
Lineage: Archaea; Methanobacteriati; Methanobacteriota
Description: bacterial SSU rRNA
Rfam family: Archaeal small subunit ribosomal RNA
Source: RNAcentral